AAGCACAUCUUUAUUUUGCAAUUGAACAGUUAAAGUCACAGCUAGAGUUUUUUCACGUUUGUACCUGAACAACUAUUUCUCAAUUAAAAAAAUGAAAUAUGGUCAACAAAUAUGUGUAAUAGUAUUUCACAUCACAUAAAUCGCUCUUAGGACUAAACAGUUUUAAUGCAAAUCGGCAUUUUUAUCCUCUGUUAGUAUUCAUAGAUUUUUUUUUUACAUGAAUGAACUGCAGGAAUUCUAAUUUUUCACUGAAAUUAAGACAAAUACACAAGGCCUUUCAAGCAUACAGUAAGCUGUAUUGACAGAUGCAGAGUAUGAUUUCAAAUUAUCCAGUAUUGACCAAAUUCAAGCUUACACAUUUUAAAUAAACCCUAAGUUUCUUUACCUCUUAUUUAUGGAAACAAAGGAUAUGGAAAGAGCUAUUUUUGAGAAAUGGGGGGAGAGCUACUAGUUCAGUAUUAUCAAACGUGAAAUGACAGCAGAAAUGCAAAACUAUAUUUUAAUUACGAAAUAAACUAGACUUUUAACUAAGUGACUUUCGCCCUUCAUAUUUACAUAUAGCACCUGUUACAAGAAAAAAAAAUCCCAUACACCCUCUACAUAGAAAUAUUUGUAAAACUACUACUUAAAAAUACCACUAAUGAGUAUAUAGCAAAUUAUCUGUCCUAAAAUUAAGCCUACACUGUAGAAAAUAAAGACUAGCUUUUCUCAUUUGAAAAGAUUACAAUAUGGAUUGUAAUUGCAAUGUCCUGAUGCUCUAAGAACACUGGGUUGGACAGUUUUUAUUUUUUUAAGCACAUAUAUUCUAAUGAUAGAAAACAAAAACAGCUUAAUGUAAACUGUUUUUAGUGUCUUAAAUCCUGACCCUUGACAAGUAGAUUGUGUCAGGACUUUGCCCUCUUCAACUUACUUGUGGUGCAGUAUUAACUUAACCCCUACCUAUGACUUAAAAUCACAUAAAUGGAUUUCCAAAUAUUCAUGUAAUGUACAAAAAAUGCAAAGCAGAAAUGAUUACUGUAAACCAAACCUGGUUGAAGCUAGCUGAGCGAACUCAGAGUACAAAACAGUCAACUGGGUAGUCUUUACUAAAUAAAUUACAGAAAAGUGGCAAAGCUAAAAUCAUACAAGUUGCCUUUUAAAUAUCAAAAGAUCAAGAGAUCAUUGUAAAGCAUUUUACUUGGGUCCAAUCCAAUGAGCUCUACAUACUAAUUCAUUAGUUUUUCCAUAUUUACAAAACUCCUAGAUUUUAUUUUUAAAUGUAUAAAUUAAGUCAGUAGUAAGCAUGAAAUAAAGUGCUACUAUUUAAAAUUCAAGAAAUCCAUUUCAGCAUUGAAAUUUGACCUACUCUACAGGAUACAAGACUGGAUAAUCUUGUGAAUUCACCAAAGGAUUGGAAAAGAUGGGUGCCAGAUAAUCCCAGAACUGGACUGAAAUUUUCUUGCCAGGAAAGGUAAAAAAACUGUUAACAUAACUCAGGAAUAAAAAUCAAAAAGGUUUUAAAUAAAAGGUAAAAUGGGCUCAGUUGUGACAAAUGGAUUUGGGCAAAACAGAGGUCAGCACCUAUUUGUGUCUAAGAUUGUAAACUGGGCUGAUCCUCCUGGACUUUAUGGUGAUAAUUUCAUUUAGCAAGGUGGCAUUUCAGUUAAAGUUAUCAUAAUAUUUGCUAAAUUUCGGAAAUUCUCAGGGUUGAUGGAGCCUGAUAUUAAUCUCUUAACUAUAGUUAAACAGUUGUUCAGGGUAUUUACUUCACAAAGACUACUAUGAAAUGAAAUCAAUGAUUUAUAAAAGUUGGAGGAAUGGGAGAAGUCAAAAUAAUGAAGGCCCCAUUACGUCGAGUUUAAGGAGUGGUAAAUAAUAAAUACUACCCUUUAAAGAGACUGUUGAACAAAUUAAAUAUGCCUAAAAGAGGACUAAAAAUGUAGGGUUUUUGUUGUCAUUCAUCGGAAUCAAUGAACUCUUAAGCAUCUAAGACACCACUGUUACAAGUCAGAACUGGACCGAGUGGUCUCAUCUGUCCAAGAUACGGAUAAUAAAAAGGCAAAAUUACUUGUCAGGGGCCUCUGCACAUAUUUACUGUAGUAAAUCAGAGGCACAGAUUUCUGGCUUCACUAAAGUCACACUCACAACGAUGUCCUCAUUUGUGGCUGCCACAGUGACAAUGCCUGAGAACUUUCCUUCAUGGUAAACACAUGCAGCAGAAUGUUUACCCUCACACAAAAACACCCUUCCAUACUCCAGAAGUCUACAAGUAUUUUACACUUAAAAAUAGCACAAAUUUUCUUGAAAUUUUCUGUUCUAGAGCUAAAAUAAAACAAAGUGAAAAAGAAUGUACAUUAUAUUUGAAAUAUGCUUCAGUAACGACUGCUCAUUUAUAAUGAAAAUUACAUUUUUCUUCCAAAGUUGCAUUUUAUAUCAUGAAAUAGAAUACACUUCCUUUCCUUUUUUCCACUCCCUUGCCGAUUUUUUUGACAGAGUAUCCUUAGAAUCAAGUCAUAAUUCUAGUAACAUUUCAAAGAUACAUUCAUUCUUUUACAGCAUGAAAGACAUACAAAUAUCAUUCUUUUUACACAAUGAAGUAAAAGAAGUUACCAGUUUCAAUCUCUUGUCCAUAGAAAAAUAUUUUCUGUAUCAUUUACACAACAGUAAGUAGGAAAAUUCUACAGUGCUUAACUGAAACUUUUAUGAACACAAGGCUUUUAAACAUUUUCAUUCUUUUAUUGGAAAUUUAAAAGGUUUUAGGAAGUUAAACAUUAGGACUUCCAACUAAAAUUGUAGUCUUUAACUUGCAAUAUUGCUAAUACCUCUCACUUUGAAAAUUAAAAAAUAAUAUACGGUUUUCUCCUUUAUGCAUGGAACCACUUCUACUCAAUGUUGAUGGAUUGCACCCCAGUAGAUACCUCUUCUGGCUGCCCAUUUAGCUUGGAUUGCUAAAGUAAAAAUAACAAUUGACUAUAAAAGUUUAGAAAUCAGCAGUAAACUGCAGUAGAAAAAAAAAAAACUGCAGUAGAAAAACAUACAA
RNAcentral lists this long non-coding RNA (3019 nucleotides) under Canis lupus familiaris (dog). Its description in RNAcentral is "lncRNA (ENSCAFG00845028221.1)". Lineage: Eukaryota; Metazoa; Chordata; Mammalia; Carnivora; Canidae. The record is from RNAcentral.